AGAGAGAGACAUGCGCGCAUAUCAAUAAGCGGAGGAAAAGAAACUAACUAGGAUUCCCUCAGUAACGGCGAGUGAAGCGGGAAGAGCUCAAAUUUGAAAUCUUCAAGGUUUUACCUUGACGAAUUGUAGUUUAAAGAAGUGUUUUCUGUUGGAGUUUCGGUAAAAGUUCUUUGGAAUAGGACAUCAUAGAGGGUGAGAAUCCCGUAUUUGACCAUUAUUUCCAGCUUUGUGAUACACUUUCAAAGAGUCGGAUUGUUUGGGAAUGCAGUCCAAAAUGGGUGGUAAAUUUCAUCUAAAGCUAAAUAUUGGCGAGAGACCGAUAGCGAACAAGUACCGUGAGGGAAAGAUGAAAAGAACUUUGAAAAGAGAGUUAAACAGUACGUGAAAUUGUCAAAAGGGAAGCGUUUGACACCAGUGUUGUUUUUCUGAAAAUCAAUUAAAGAACUGUUUAUGCUAAGUUGUUUAGACUUUAUCAGCUAUCUGUUUAGUUUUGAGCUUUUCUUUAAUGCACUUUUCAGUUAACAAGUCAACAUCAAUUUCUUUUGCUGUAAAAAAGCUUGAGGAAGGUGGCUUGAGAUUCGUCUUAAGUGUUUAUAGCCUCUUGCCUAUGCAGUCGGAGAGAUUGAGGUCUGCAGCGUAGAUCCUUCGGGGCUAAAUGCAUUUGUGCUAAGUUAUAGCAUUUUAUAGACAACUUGUUGACUAUGAUAUGUCUUGUAGCUUACUCGCUUAUGUUAUUUUACCUACGCUUAGGAUGUUGAGCGCAUGUCUCUCUCU
Molecule: ribosomal RNA, 774 nt
Filed under: uncultured Neocallimastigales
Lineage: Eukaryota; Fungi; Neocallimastigomycota; Neocallimastigomycetes; Neocallimastigales
Description: partial large subunit ribosomal RNA
Rfam family: Eukaryotic large subunit ribosomal RNA
Source: RNAcentral